GACGAACGCUGGCGGUGCGCCUUAUGCAUGCAAGUCGAGCGAAGCUUUUCAGUAGUUUACUACAGAAAAUGACUGAGCGGCGAACGGGUGAGUAACGCGUGAGCAAUCUACCUUAGUUACUGGGAUAGCCCGAGGAAACUCGGAUUAAUACCGGAUAUUCUUAUUUUUUCACAUGAAGUUUUAAGGAAAGGUCAGCCGAACUAAGAUGAGCUCGCGUUCUAUCAGCUAGUUGGUGGGGUAAAAGCCUACCAAGGCUACGACGGAUAGCUGGUCUGAGAGGACGAUCAGCCACACUGGGACUGAGACACGGCCCAGACUCCUACGGGAGGCUGCAGCAGGGAAUAUUGCGCAAUGAGCGAAAGCUUGACGCAGCGACACCGCGUGUGGGAUGACGGUUCUAGGAUUGUAAACCACUUUCAGGAGGGAAGAAAAUGACGGUACCUCCACAAGAAGACCCGGCCAACUACGUGCCAGCAGA
This 478-nucleotide ribosomal RNA is filed under the name uncultured bacterium. RNAcentral describes it as "bacterial SSU rRNA". It matches the Rfam family "Bacterial small subunit ribosomal RNA", at positions 28 to 515 of the family's 1533-position model. The record is from RNAcentral.